GCUGGGUGUGGUUGUGCGCACCUGUGGUCCAAGCUACUCAGGAGGCUGAGAUGGGAGGAUUGCUUGUGCCCAGGAGGUCUGCAGUGAGCUCUGAUUGUGCCACUGCACUCCAGCCUGGGCAACAAAGUGAGACUCUGUAUCAA
This is an unclassified non-coding RNA of Pongo abelii (Sumatran orangutan), 143 nucleotides long. It matches the Rfam family "Metazoan signal recognition particle RNA". Rfam says of the family: The signal recognition particle (SRP) is a universally conserved ribonucleoprotein. It is involved in the co-translational targeting of proteins to membranes. The record is from Ensembl. Lineage: Eukaryota; Metazoa; Chordata; Mammalia; Primates; Hominidae.